UACGUAGGGUGCAAGCGUUGUCCGGAAUUAUUGGGCGUAAAGAGCUCGUAGGCGGUUUGUUGCGUCGGCUGUGAAAUCCCGAGGCUCAACCUCGGGCUUGCAGUGGGUACGGGCAGACUAGAGUGCGGUAGGGGUGACUGGAAUUCCUGGUGUAGCGGUGGAAUGCGCAGAUAUCAGGAGGAACACCGAUGGCGAAGGCAGGUCACUGGGCCGCAACUGACGCUGAGGAGCGAAAGCAUGGGGAGCGAACAGG
This 253-nucleotide ribosomal RNA is filed under the name uncultured bacterium. Its description in RNAcentral is "partial 16S ribosomal RNA". It matches the Rfam family "Bacterial small subunit ribosomal RNA", at positions 524 to 776 of the family's 1533-position model. The record is from RNAcentral.